This 1356-nucleotide long non-coding RNA is filed under the name Gossypium barbadense (sea-island cotton). Its description in RNAcentral is "long non-coding RNA (GBAR_LNC014725)". Lineage: Eukaryota; Viridiplantae; Streptophyta; Magnoliopsida; Malvales; Malvaceae. The record is from RNAcentral.
UCAUUUCCUUUCUUAUUUUUCUCGAGCCCCCUUUCCUUCGGUCACAGGGUCGGCAAGUCUCCGCUGCGGCCAUUGGUCAUCGAUGACGGAGACCGUCGCCUCCGGAGGUCGGAGAUCACCAAAAUCACCCAUUCCGAGCCUUUUUUCGCGUAGAUUUUAGAUAUAGGAUUCAAAUCCCCAAAAACCCAGUCGAAUUCCACUAACAGUCGAGAAACCCUUUUCUUCUCCCUGAUCUACGACGAGGCCGUCGACGAACCCUUAGGGGUUUAGAAAAAAAAUGAAUCUUCGUUUUUGUUUUAACUUUGCUAUUUUUUUUUAAAUUCUUCGGUCUCCGUUGAGGUUGUCGACGAACCCUAAUGGGUUUGGAGACCCUUUGAAUCGGCAGAGAGCUGCUGUCGACGGUGGUGGGAAACAAAGCAAUGAGGUAAGUUUUUUUACUUUGUUUUUUUUAUGCUAUUUAAAAAAAUAGAAUAAACAUCAAAAUAGAAGAUAAAAAAAACCACCUUUGUAAUUUGUUUUUCUCUUUGUAUUCUCUGUUGAAUUUCUUCGUAAAAAAAUUACAAAUGGUUCUUUGGCUUUUUAUAGCUGAAUUGCAGCAUAUUAUUUUUCUCUUUUUCCUUUUUCUGUUUCUCUGCUUCCAUUUUUCUGUCUUUUGCAGGUGGUGGUGGCAAAGACGAGGAGGUGGUGUCAGGCCUCAGGUGGUACGCCUACUAACGUGGCGAGGGUGGCGGUUGGAGGCUUAGGGACUUUUAAGGUUUUCUUUUUGUUCUGUUUAAUUUAGUAUUUGGGCUAUUGGACUUCGAGUGUCUAGGCUUUUAGGGUUAGGUUAGUAGAUGAAUUUGGGCCAUUGGGUUUGUAAAUGGAGGGACCAAAAGGGCAAAUAACUCAAACCUAGUACACGUCAUUCCUGAAGGGAAUUUUGCUAACUGUUGAUUUCAUGACAUUAGCAUAAGAAAUGGCUUCUACUCACUUAAACCGAUAUCCUCCUACAUUGAUAACAAUAUUGAUACUAAUCGAGUUAAGAUAUAUUGUCAUGAUUGAUUAAAAAUGAGGCAACGACCUAACAUUACCAUUGUACAUAUUGUAAUGGGAAAAAUAAUGGUGUAAAAAGAAUGAGUGAAUGAGAUUUUACGAAAUAUUCUACUAAUAGGAAUAGCAAACGCAUCUCAUGGCAUGCUAUAUCAUUUCAAUUUUCAGGGGAAAUGAUUAAACUCAAGCCAUGCACUAAUGUAGUAAACUACACGCCCAACCCAAGUGUGCUUUCGCAAACUUUUACUAAAAUUACGUUACACUGUAGACUAUGUAAUUAAUUUCUUUUAUUUAGUGCGAUUUAGGGUACUUUCUAUUUAAUCAUCC